Macaca mulatta (Rhesus monkey) is the source of this 2322-nucleotide long non-coding RNA. The record is from Ensembl. NCBI's taxonomy places the organism in Eukaryota, Metazoa, Chordata, Mammalia, Primates, Cercopithecidae.
ACUGUCGGUGACAUCACGGAGAGGGCGACUUCUAUGUAGAUAAGGGAGCGCAGGGGCUCCUGCUUCCCCACCUGCUGCUUCGCCACGAAGGAGUGUUCCCGUGCCAUGGAGGCAGGUUCAGGACCGCUGGUCGGAACUGAGAGUCCCAGUUGUCUGUCAGGGCAAGAAGGACUCGGGAGUGCGCGGGGCAAGUGACCGUGUAAGGAGCUGGUGCUACGCUGUUCUCCUCUGUUCUCCUGACCCCUGGGAAUUCUGGGAAAGUGGUUCACUGUAAAAGUGCUGACAAUGGGUGUUUCCACCGUUCCUGUGACAGAGAGCCCGGACUUCAGCUGCUGAAGAAGAACUCGGACCUAACUCUCCAGAGCGGGACCUUUACUUUGGCACAGAGUUGGUCCUUAGCUAAAUAAAAAUUGAAAAGGGGAGAUUUUAAAUGUUCAUCUAAUUGAGACUUUAUAUAAUAGAUCUUUUUAUUUUAUUGUGGCAACAAGAGGAGAGAUUGCAUUCUUAGGUUUUUAUUGUUGGAACUUAAUAAUAUUGGCUAUUCUACUGCUUUUGUGGAAUUGUUUGGUCUAUGCUGGUACAUGGUACUUGCUAUGAAACACUGUCUGGUGAACUGGAUAGGCAAGUAGCUAAAGAAAACGUCAUAAGAAACAGAAAUAGGAGUUGAGUCCAAUCUCUCUCCUGCACUGCAAGAUUCUGUUGCAGUGGUCCCUACACCUAUUGCCAUAGCACCCCUCAAGUUUUCUUUAAAGCUAAGAAAACAGAAAUAGAGGAUGGAUUCUCAAAUAGAUAUACCUAGAGUUAGGUAAAGUCUUAUUUUGAUUCUUUCAGAGGUUUGGAUGUCUUAGUUAUGUCAGGCUGCCGUAACAAAAUACCAUCUACUGGGUGACUUAAACAUUUAUUUCUCACAGUUCUGGAGGCUGAGAUGUCCAAGAUGCCAGCAAGUUUGGCUCUUGGUGAGAGUCCUCUUCCUAGCUUCUAGAUAGUGAUUUUUGUUUUUUUUACAGUAUUUACCUUGGCAAUAAUAAUCUUAUUUUUCCAUUUGGUUAGUUUUCCAUGUAUUUAUUACUUAAUAUUAGCCAAUUUCUCCCCAUUUCUGUAAAUCUCCCGUCAACACAUAGAAACACACAAUCAUUUUUGUUGGUUUGCUUCCUUGUAUGUUUGUUCAAGAAAUUUUUCCUGGCUGGGCGUGGUGGCUCAUGCCUGUAAUCCCAGCACUUUGGGAGGCCCAGGCAGGUGGAUCACCUGAGAUCAGGAACUCGAGAUCAGCCUGGUCAGCGUGGUGAAACUCCAUCUUUACUAAAAAUACAAAAAUUAGUUGGGCAUGGUGGCGGGCACCUGUACUCCCAGCUCCUAGGGAAACUGAGGCUGGCAGGCACCUGUAAUCCCAGCUACUCGGGAAGCUGAGGCAGGAUAAUCGCUUGAACCCGGGAGGCAGAGGUUGCAGUGAGCCAAGAUUGCGCCAUUGCACUCCAGCCUGGGCAAAAGAGUGAGACUCCUUCUCAAACAAACAAACAAAAAUAAAUAAAGAAAGAAAUUUUUCCUAGCAUGUUUCUACCUGCUCCAUUCUGGAUGACUUGCUCUUCAGGCUUAUCUCAGAGCUGUUAUCAUAAUAUCUCUCUUUACUACACCAUCUUGGGAUUUCCAUUACCUCUCUCUUUUGUUAGAUCCCCUGCUUCAUGGAUCUCAAGGCGGUUCAUUCCUCACUCACUCCUUCCUCUUGAUGAUGCAUAUCCUCCAAAACCUCCUAUAAAGUGGUUACCUUAGAAAUAAACUUCUUGAGACACUGCGUGUCUGAAAACAUCUAUUUUACCCAUACACUUAACUGAUAUUUUACUAGAUAGAGAUAUAAAGAGAUAGGCUGAAAUAAUUUCUCUCAGAUUUUUAAAGGCAUUGCUUUUUUUUUUUUUUUGGACAGAGUCUCGCCUCUCUUUGUCCCCCAGGCUGGAGUGGGGGGGCGGGAUCUCGGCUCACUGCAACCUCCACCUCCCGGGUUCAAGCGAUUCUCCUGCCUUGGCCUCGAGUAGCUGGGAUUACAGGCACCCGCCACCACGCCCCGCUAAUUUUUUUGUUUUUAGUAGAGACGAGGUUUCACCAUGUUGGCCAAGCUGGUUUUGAGAGAGGAGACCACUCUUCAUAUUGUCUUAUUCUUAAUUUCUUGUUUGCUGAAAAAGUGGACGUUGAAAGAAUGGGCAGAAGUGAAAAUCACGGUCAGAUAACCGGACGCCACAUUUUGGGCCUGGUUGUUAAAAUUCAACCCCUGAUCUCACCACUUGUGCUAUCUAUAAAUUCCAGACAUUGUAUAAAAAAGCAUUAUGAAAC